This 253-nucleotide ribosomal RNA is filed under the name uncultured bacterium. RNAcentral describes it as "partial 16S ribosomal RNA". It matches the Rfam family "Bacterial small subunit ribosomal RNA", at positions 524 to 776 of the family's 1533-position model. The record is from RNAcentral.
UACGGGGGGGGCCAGCGUUGUUCGGAAUUACUGGGCGUAAAGCGCACGUAGGCGGAUUUGUAAGUCAGGGGUGAAAUCCCGGGGCUCAACCUCGGAACUGCCUUUGAUACUGCAAAUCUCGAGUCCGGAAGAGGUGAGUGGAAUUCCUAGUGUAGAGGUGAAAUUCGUAGAUAUUAGGAAGAACACCAGUGGCGAAGGCGGCUCACUGGUCCGGUACUGACGCUGAGGUGCGAAAGCGUGGGGAGCAAACAGG